Amphimedon queenslandica is the source of this 285-nucleotide long non-coding RNA. RefSeq lists it as uncharacterized. The record is from RefSeq and is a predicted model, not a curated record. The transcript has 3 exons. Lineage: Eukaryota; Metazoa; Porifera; Demospongiae; Haplosclerida; Niphatidae.
AGAAGCACUUGACAGCAUUUUAACUUACUUUUCUUGCUUUUUGGACAUCUUAAGAGUGAUCUAAAGCCCAGCCAUGCAUUGAGACAUCAAAUACAAUGCCAAUAAAGUCCUUUUUGUGAACUGUAAUAACAUCAUCUGGGUCAUUUACAUCCAGACAUCGCUUCUGCUUGAGUUUACAGGUCACAGGUGACACUUGGUGUUCUUUGAUUGGCUGUGAAUGACGCAAUAACUUCUAUUUCGGUAUUCUCCUCCCACACAUUUUUAUCAUCAGUCCUCUCACCUGUA